GAACACAAGUAUACUGAAUAUAAAGAAUAUUUAAACAUAUUAGAAAUGCUGAAAAGUAACUGGUAACCUUGAAGUCAGUCCUGUUAUUUGUGUAAGGUUGGUAAUAACUAGUAGAGAGUUAAAUGAUAACAUCAAUACCCCAGUACAUAAUUCCUGAUAAGAACAUCUUGAAUUUUUUUUUUUUUUUUUGGUAUCAUUGAGUUAAGGAAACGAUGGUUUCAAAGGAAGCAGAAGAAAAAUGUGAAUUCC
Pelobates cultripes (western spadefoot toad) is the source of this 249-nucleotide non-coding RNA. The record is from the annotation of a GenBank genome assembly. NCBI's taxonomy places the organism in Eukaryota, Metazoa, Chordata, Amphibia, Anura, Pelobatidae.